RNAcentral lists this small RNA (144 nucleotides) under Enterobacter sp. NFR05. RNAcentral's name for it is "STAXI RNA". It matches the Rfam family "STAXI RNA". The record is from RNAcentral. Lineage: Bacteria; Pseudomonadati; Pseudomonadota; Gammaproteobacteria; Enterobacterales; Enterobacteriaceae.
UAUCAUAGGGAAAGAAGCGCGGCCUGAGACUGAUGCCUUCGGGUGGCCGCAGCCAAAAUCGUCGUAAUCUGAGAGACGAUGCCUUCGGGCGGUAACACCGUUUAACCUUUGAGAACGGUGAUCGCAAACGCGAUAAAGGUACAC